UACGUAGGGUGCAAGCGUUGUCCGGAUUUAUUGGGCGUAAAGAGCGUGUAGGCGGCUUUACAGGUCCGUUGUGAAAACUCGAGGCUCAACCUCGAGACGCCGGUGGAAACCGUAAAGCUAGAGUCCGGAAGAGGAGAGUGGAAUUCCUGGUGUAGCGGUGAAAUGCGUAGAUAUCGGGAGGAACACCUGUGGCGAAGGCGGCCCCCUGGUUGGAUACUGACGCUGAUACGCGAAAGCGUGGGGAGCAAACAGG
RNAcentral lists this ribosomal RNA (253 nucleotides) under uncultured bacterium. RNAcentral's name for it is "partial 16S ribosomal RNA". It matches the Rfam family "Bacterial small subunit ribosomal RNA", at positions 524 to 776 of the family's 1533-position model. The record is from RNAcentral.